UUUAAUGCAAUGUGUGAAAAAGGGCUUCAAAUUAUACAGUUUUAGGUGUACUGCUUCAAUAUACAGGUUGUCUAAAAUAAAUAAAAAAAUAUAGCGUUUUUUUAAAAAAUAAAAAUAAAUAACCACCCACUUUAGAGGGCGUUUUCCAAAAUAAGCGCCCUCUAAACCCUUUAAAUUUCCACUUUAGAGGGCGCUUUCCAGUAAA
This 205-nucleotide long non-coding RNA is filed under the name Lathyrus oleraceus (garden pea). RNAcentral's name for it is "Pisum sativum (pea) long non-coding RNA (PSAT_LNC035509)". Lineage: Eukaryota; Viridiplantae; Streptophyta; Magnoliopsida; Fabales; Fabaceae. The record is from RNAcentral.